This 207-nucleotide ribosomal RNA is filed under the name uncultured bacterium. RNAcentral's name for it is "partial 16S ribosomal RNA". It matches the Rfam family "Bacterial small subunit ribosomal RNA", at positions 568 to 774 of the family's 1533-position model. The record is from RNAcentral.
CAUGUAGGCGGUUGUUUAAGUCUGAUGUGAAAGCCCUGGGCUCAACCCAGGAAGUGCAUUGGAUACUGGAUAACUUGAGUACGGGAGAGGAAAGUGGAAUUUCGAGUGUAGGGGUGAAAUCCGUAGAUAUUCGAAGGAACACCAGUGGCGAAGGCGGCUUUCUGGACCGAUACUGACGCUGAGAUGCGAAAACGUGGGGAGCAAACA